UAAAAUAUUCAUUAUAUUAAAAAGAACGUUAAGUAGUGUAAAAUCACAAUACCAAAUGUGUUAAAAUCUCAAAGAACUACUACUUAACAAGAUUAAAGGAAAACUUAAGUCAAUCCUAACAAUAAUGACUAAUGGCCGCACACAUGAUACGCAUUGUUACUCCCGUUUGAACAUCUUCAAGUGCCGUCCACUUCUUGAAUCAAAUACCUGCAAGAAAUACGUUGCUAAAUAAGUACCAUUUGCUCGGGGCAAUUUACACUUUUAUCUUUUGCUUUUUUCUGCAGUAAGACUGGAAUGAAAAUGUCAUCACUAUCGCAGUUAACAUGAACAAAAAUAAGGUGGUCAAGUAGAGAAAUCUAAUAAAACCUUUCCUUUGGUAAUGAUCCAACAUUCAAUCCUCUUGUUAUGCAGCGCAACUCCAGCUUUGCUAUAUGUUUUGAAUGUCUUUAGUUCAAAAAGAACAUAUCCCAAACGAAAGAAAAAAGAAAAGGAUACAGCAGAAUGAGAGAAAAAUUGAAAAUUGAAAGACACGAAGAUAUUAUACAAGUGUUGGUGCACAAACAAUAUGCACGUAAAGAAGAUUAUCAGUUCAGCAAGUGAUGAAUCUUUGUAACUGCCUAGCAAAUACUAGGAUAGCGCGAAACAACAAUGAAUAAUUGUUUCAUACACCGCCACACAAUUUGUUGUUCUCCGUCCUUUCACCAUUUCCUUAAACACAUUCCCUCCUUACUUCACAAACUCACAAACACCGCAAUCCACUGACUUCACUUCUCGUCCAUGGCUUUAGAAGUAGAAGGGUGUCGAACAGAGCUCAAUCUUUUAUGUGACAAACUUAGAAAACAUUAUCUUGUUAUUGUAGUAUAUAUAUAUAUAUAGUGACAUGCAUUACAAGGAUGGUUAUGGAUCUGCAUCUUCAAGCCUACAAAGUUUACCAUCUGGCCAUUGCAAUGAAACUUUCACACAAGAUGCAUUCCACUUAUUAUACAAACAAAAAUUGAGGGAAACUCCCCUGUUCUACCCCCUAUGUGCUGCUUGAUAUUCUUUAUCAGGCACCCAAAAUAAAAUACCCCCAAGGACAUAAUCGUCAUUAACACUUCAUAUUCUAAUAAACUAAGCUUAAAGAAACUAAACAUCACUUAUUGCCUUUCUUCUGAUUACCAGGAACCAUUUCCUUGUUUUUCAGACAUUUUGUUUUUCACAAAAUACUGGUUUUGGAUAUUCUAUCACUGGAUUAUCUACUUUCUACUUGCAAUCCUUCCUAAAACAACAACAACAACGGCCCAGUAUAAUCUCACAAGUGGGGUAUGGGGAGGAUAAUAUGUACGCAGACCUUACCCCUACCCCUAGGAGCAGAGAGGCUACUUCCAAGAGACCUUCGGCUCAAGAAAGCAACAAGAGACGAUAUAUUAGUACCAUCAAUAGACUCAUAAUAAAAUAACAACAAUAUAAGAGAUACAAAAUACGAAAUACGGAAUACGAAAUACGAAAUAGAUGGAUGGUAUAGUAAAAACUAGCAGAUAAAGCUCUGCAUCACUAGAUGACCAAUAGCAUCCUCAGACUAACUCCUAACUGGCUAGUCUCACUCUAUUGUGCUGUAGAAAUAUUCACAACUUUCCCCUAACCUACAACCUUAAUGCUCGACCUCCACAAUUCCCUGUUAAGGGCCAUGUCCUCAGUAAUCAUAAGUCGCGUCAUGUCUUAUCUGAUCACCUCUCUCCAAUACUUCUUAGGUUGCCCUCUACCUCUCCUCGUGCCCACCACAUCCAGUGGCUCACACCUCCUCACCGGUGCGUCAGUGCUCCUCCUCUGAAUGUGCCCAAACCAUCUGAGUCUUGUUUCCCGCAUCUUGUCCUCCAUGGGGGCCACGUCCACCUUCUCUCAAAUAUCUUCAUUCCUAAUCUUAUCUAUCCUUGUAUGCCCGCACAUCCACCUCAACAUCCUCAUCUCUGCUACUUUUAUCUUCUGGAUGUGUGAGUUUUUAACCGGCCAACACUCAGUCCCAUACAACAUGGCAGGCCUAACCAGUGCUCUAUAAAACUUACCUUUUAGUAAGGUGGCACUUUCUUGUCACACAGGACUCCCGAUGCUAACCUCCACUUCAUCCACCCCACCUUUAUACGGUGUGUGACAUCCUCGUCGAUCUCCUCGAUCCCCUGAAUAACCGAUCCAAGGUACUUGAAACUACCCCUCUUGGGAAUGACUUGAGUCAAGCCUCACUUCCACUCCUGCGUCCGUCUGCUCUACCCCAAAUUUGCACUCGAGGUAUUCCGUCUUUGUCCUGCUCAACUUGAAACCUUUAGACUUAAGAGCAUGUCUCCAAACCUCUAGCCUCUCGUUGACGCCGCCUCGUGUCUCGUCAAUUAGAAUAAUGUCAUCAGCAAAUAGCAUGCACCAUGGCACCUUCCCUUGAAUAAAACCAAAAGGGAAUUAACCUAAAGACCAUUUCCGGAUAAACCUUUAAAGCUAAUAAUAAAGAAAGUCUAUCCAUUCCUGAGGAAGGCGUACUUCAAGGUUCAUUGUUCCUUCUUGUUGUAGAUUUCUCCUCUGUUGUGCAAGCAAUGCAUUUCUCCUAGCCAUUAAUAUUUUUGCACAACAAUAUCAUUGCCUGAGCUUGAAAGAAAAAGAAAAAGUUCUAUCGAAAAAGAACAAGUGAAAAGUUUGAUUACCACAGAGGUUUUGAGUUACUGCAAUCUUCAAUAAAGCAAAGAAACUCAACGAUAAUAAAAACGGCAAACAAAAAGAGAGAUAGCAAUGACUUGAGCUAGUUGAGAGAAAGGUAGGUACCUUAUGAUAAUUGUCACACACUCAAUAGUUUUGAGGAAUCGAAUAAAUUCUCGUGUUGAUUUGUUGAAGUUCUUCAGUCUCUGAACCAUGAUUCAUAUAGUUUAAGUUAGUGAUUAAUAUACACUCUCAAUAGGAAAAACAUAAAUUCCUUUUACAGUUUCUUCAAGGUCACUAAAGAUCACUGGAAAUUAUAAUCGGACCAGUCGCACUCUAAAGCCAGGUAUACCUCACUUGAUUUAAUAGCUAGCCAAUAUAUAUACCACUUCUUGCACAUCCAGAAUAGGUGUGCUUGUGUCAAUGUACAUUUUCGCUGAGUUUAUCUUUUACAUGGACUUCCAAAAUCAGCAUUAGAAGACUAUAUUGAUGUGAUUAUUUAUAAGAUACUAUUCCACCAAAGACAUGUUUGCCUUUCUAUCAACUAAAAGAUCCUGCUGUAUAAAAAAAUAGAGAUCUCUGAUUGCUUCUACUAGUUUUAGUUUUAUAUCUAAAUGGGGAGAGUAAGCUAGGAGAUCUAAUAAGAAAAAAAUAGGAUUACCUUAACUAUCCGAAUGGUGUAUGCCUCUGUAUAACCUGUAGAUAAGUAAACAAAAUGAAUGAAGUGGCCUUAAGACAAGGAGAAAGUAAUACAUCCUAGGAAUACCAACUCAUGGAAACGAUCCAAAUCAAUGGAAGAAACACUAAUUUUGGAUAUUUGGAAAAACAAAACUCUACCACUAUGUAUUUCAGAAGUUUUGACCUGCAAAGGCAGGAUAUUGAUAUCCAACAAUGUCACCAAAUCCUUUGCUCUUUUAGAUAUAGGAAUACCAUCUCCUGUUGAAUAUAAAGUACCACAUUAAACCCCUUUGUUUUGAUAAACAAUAGGCUCUCAAAAUGCAGAACAAUAGAUUACAAUAGGUUUGUUGUAUUGACAGAGCAACGCAAACAAACAAUAAAACCCUAGAUCCACGUCAAUAUAUAAUCAAUACAGAGCAGAAAGGAGAUAAAAAUAGAGAUGACUUGGCUGAGCUUUAUUUGGAGUUAGGAGUUUGAAUUGCUGAAGGCGUGACCAUGACCGUGGCGGAGUUCAGCAAAAUCUAUGGGAGCUUCAUCGUAGACCACAGAUUCGCCAUUUCUUCCCAAUCAAAGGUUCUACUGGCCUCAAAUGUUAUGACGUAUGAAAAUUCUGAAAUAAAAAUAGCGGCGUUUUAAACCGCCAUUUAUUAUGCUAAAAUCGCCGCUUUAUGGAUGCAUCAUUGGCGGCUUAAAAUUUGCCAUAGUGCUAUAAUGGCGGUUUUGAUAACCGCCACUUUAAUAAUGC
Molecule: long non-coding RNA, 4081 nt
Filed under: Nicotiana tabacum (common tobacco)
Lineage: Eukaryota; Viridiplantae; Streptophyta; Magnoliopsida; Solanales; Solanaceae
Description: long non-coding RNA (NTAB_LNC008166)
Source: RNAcentral